AAAUGAAUAGACGGGGACCCGCACAAGCAGAGGAGCGUGCGGUUUAAUUCGCCGGUCCGCGAAAAACCUUACCAAGGCUUGACAUCGGAUGCAUACUGUGGAAACACAGGAAAAAAUAGUAAUAUUUCAUCCAGACAGAUGGUGCAUGGCCGUCGUCAGCUCGUGUCGUGAGAUGUUGGGUUAAGUCCCGCAACGAGCGCAACCCUUGUUUUUAGUUGCCAUCAUUAAGUUGGGCACUCUAGAAAGACUGCCGUGGAUAACAUGGAGGAAGGUGGGGAUGACGUCAGGUAUCACGCCUCUUACGCCUUGGGCUACACGCGCGCUACAAUGGUCACAACAAAGAGAUGCAAACCCGCGAGGGGAAGCUAACCUCAAAAAAGUGAUCUCAGUUCAGAUUGCAGUCUGCAACCCGACUGCAUGAAGUAGGAUUUGCUAGUAAUCGUGAAUCAGAAUGUCACGGUGAAUUCGUACUCGGGUCUUGUACACACCGCCCGU
Molecule: ribosomal RNA, 495 nt
Filed under: uncultured bacterium
Lineage: Bacteria
Description: bacterial SSU rRNA
Rfam family: Bacterial small subunit ribosomal RNA
Source: RNAcentral